RNAcentral lists this long non-coding RNA (1968 nucleotides) under Ovis aries (sheep). RNAcentral describes it as "lncRNA (ENSOARG00000026552.1)". The record is from RNAcentral. Lineage: Eukaryota; Metazoa; Chordata; Mammalia; Artiodactyla; Bovidae.
AAAGCUGAGUGCUGAAGAAUUGAUGCUUUUGAACUGUGGUGUUGGAGAAGACUCUUGAGAGUCCCUUGGACUGCAAGGAGAUCCAACCAGUCCAUCUGAAGGAGAUCAGCCCUGGGAUUUCUUUGGAGGGAAUGAUGCUAAAGCUGAAACUCCAAUACUUUGGCCUCCUCAUGUGAAGAGUUGACUGACUGGAAAAGACUCUGUUGCUGGGAGGGAUUGGGGGCAGGAGGAGAAGGGGACGACCGAGGAUGAGAUGGCUGGAUGGCAUCACUGACUCAAUGGACUUGAAUCUGAGUGAACUCCAGGAGUUGGUGAUGGACAGGGAGGCCUGGCGUGCUGCAAUUCAUGGGGCCACAAAGAGUCGGACAUGACUGAGUGACUGAAUUGAACUGAACUGAAGCCUCAUUUCCUUACUUGUUAAUGGAGAUAAUAAUAAUAUCUAACUUAUGUAGUUGUGGUUUUAAAUAAAAUUAAAUAAUGCACCAAAAAUAUUUAGUGAAGAGUAAAUGUUUAAUAAAUACCAGCUAUAAUCCACUCCAAACCAAUAGUCACAAACUUGGCAUCAAAUUUCUGCUCUAGCCUCUAUCCUUAGUUCUAAAAAUUGGGAAACUGCUUAUUCCCUAAAUCUCGGUUUGAUAUUUUUCUGGAUCACUCUUUUUGUCCUGAGUUUUGUGUGUGUUUAUUGUUAAUGUUUCUAUUUCCUGGUAACUAUACACACACCGGCUUCCCUUUCCAGGGCUGUGACCUGGACUUGUGUUCAUCAUUCUUCCUCCAAGACCUUGGAAUCCUACUCUGGAUCACAAUUGUGAAGAUGCAGCUGAUAGCUGGUGCUCAACCACCCUGAUGGAGAGUGGACAGGGCUCAGCUGUAGCCCACAGGCUGUGCUUUGUGCUUCCGGUGUGUAUGUCGGAAGUGCAGUCCCGACUGCAGAGCUGGCAGAGGACGGUCAGGAUACGCCGAGCACCGGGACAGAUCAGAAGAUCGGGUACAGCAGCUGCUGCCAUGAAGUUUUUCGCGGAGGGAGUCAGAUCUCCAGGAGUCUCAGUUCUGCUGGGGCCAUCAGGGGAGUCUCAGGAGGAGAAACACCUGGGUGCCCCUGGUCUCAGACUUGACCGUGAGGAGUUUGGUUCACAUCACCUAUCACACAGACCCCAAUCUUGAUGGACACCUCACCUGUCCCCAACGACUGAAAGGAUUCAAUUCAGUCUCUCAGUCCUGUCUGAUUCUUUGUAAUCCCGUGGACUGCAGCAGGCCAGGCCUCCCUGUCCAUCAUCAACUCAUGGAGCUUGCUCAAACUCAUGUCCAUUGAGUCGGUGGUGUCAUCCAACCAUCUCAUCCUCUGUCGUCCCUUUCUCCUCCCGCCUUCAUUCUUUCCCAGCAUCAGGGUCUUUUCCAAUGAGUCAGGUCUCUGCAUCAGGUGGCCAAAGUAUUGAGUCACAGUAAACCCAGUGAAAUGGCACCUGACCCAGGGGCCUGGUCAGGAGUGACUUUGUGAUUAAGAAUGGCCUUGAUUAUGUAAACUUAUCAUGUAACAUAUAUCCGAAACAUGAAAGAUACUCAAUAAAUGCUUAUUAAAUGAAGGUGAGAAAAAAUUGAUUUUUGUAAGCUAAUCUGCAGUCUCAUUGUCUGGAAGGGCAUUUCCAAUGACCUUAUUAUCUAUCAAGCAAUGCUUUCUGAUAGAAUUUUAGAUUUAGUUUUAUAACUGAAUUGUUGAUUUUCUGUGCUAUUUCUACUAUUUUUGCUAUUACAUAUAGUUAGUAGCUAGUCUCUGAAGAUGACCUUUAACAAUUUCUUCCCUCCUUUUAAGUACAUAUCUCUGCUUACAUCAAAAAGUAGAACCUAACCUUCCCACCUCCCCUAAUACACUUUCGACCUUUGCUUUGGGAUGGCCUUGUGACUGGUUUUAACCAAAGAAUGUGAAGAAAUCAUGUUCUGGGAUUUCUGAGUGAAGGCUUGAAGAGAAUUAGU